AUUUAUUUAGUAUACAAGUAUAGUUGACUUCCAAUCAAAAGGACUGAAUAUAAUUCAGAAUAAAUA
Molecule: transfer RNA, 66 nt
Filed under: Strophopteryx fasciata
Lineage: Eukaryota; Metazoa; Arthropoda; Insecta; Plecoptera; Taeniopterygidae
Description: tRNA-Gly
Source: RNAcentral